RNAcentral lists this long non-coding RNA (2502 nucleotides) under Crocodylus porosus (Australian saltwater crocodile). Its description in RNAcentral is "lncRNA (ENSCPRG00005017957.1)". Lineage: Eukaryota; Metazoa; Chordata; Crocodylia; Crocodylidae. The record is from RNAcentral.
AUGCGAGACGGAGGAGGUGAGUUUAUGGAGGGAAAAAUGAUCAUUGUUUCUGGUUGCAAUUUUUGGCAGGAAGACUUUCCAGUGGGAAAAUGCAGUUUUGGCAAAUUUGAUAUUUUUCUACAAGAAAAAAGUAUUUUUUUUUUUAUUCCUGUAGUGUCAGCUGUAGAUGUGCCAAACAACAGAAAGGCAGUCCCAAAGAGCUUCCAAGCGAAGCAUGUGACAGGACAACAGAUGGAUAUAAGCAGCUGCAAGGACACCAUGACAGGACAAAAGUCAAUCGAUUCUUUUUUAAUUGUGUUUCGUCACACGCAUCGUAAGGGAGAACUCACCAUCAAAAUGAUACAGGCAAAGGAUGGUGUGUUGUCCAUGACUUACACGUGGGGAAGCUGAGGCACGGAGCAACCAAGUGACUUGCCUAAGGACACAGAGGCAGCCUGUGGCAGAGCUCCCUUUCUCUCUCUCUCUCUCCCUCCCUCCACCCCCCUGAUUUGCUUGCGUCUCGGUUUAAACUCCCAGCACCUACAGUGAUCCCUCCAGCACCUAAGUCUUGGUCUUAAUAAGGCAUCUGCACCGCGAGGCCUUGAGAAACGUACCGUUACGUUCUGCAUGCAUCACCUGCCUCCCCUGCAAGGCUGCUGGUGUAGCAACCCGUUCCAUACGAGCACCUCUCGCUUCUGCCCAGGCUGAGCUGUUCCAGGAGUCGAUUCGUUUGACCCCGUGAAAUUCACCCUCUUGCCUCCUGCUGAACCUGGUGACUGUCUGCCCCGAUUGAAUGGCUCAGGGCAGCCAAGCCUUGGAGAGAAGCUUGAGAAGCCAUUGCUCUGGAAGACGUUGCAUCGUUCUGUGACUUGCGGCGGUUUCUGCACAUCAAGGACACAAAAGCUUUCAUUUGUUAGCGACGGGAGAUGCAAGCUCUUUGGGACAAGGACUGGCUUGUGUUUGUACAGCACCUAGCACUGUGGGAUCACAGGUCUGUGACUCAAGCUCCCAGGUUCCCCCUGGCACCCAACAACAACAGUCAUUAGCGCAGCAUCAUUUGCCACAAGCAAAUGCAAAACCGCUGGUGCGUAGCAUGUGGAAAGCCUGCCACCCCGAGCCCACAGGCCCAGUUUCUGGAUUUGCAUUAGAGGGGACAAUACUUGACUGUUAUGGUAUUCCACGACAGAGCCCGGAUCUGCGCUGUGAACGUUCACGGGCAGACAAGGUUCUUUGGGUAAAUCCCGUAUCUUUUAUUAGACUAAAAUAGUUGGAAAAAUUCUUCUUUUCAAGCUUUGGGGUAAAACACCCUUUGUCAGGCUGGGGAAGCAUCUGCAAGCCGUCUGUGCUCUUCCUGGAUGGGAUAGAAGAGAAACCAGAGGCCAGUACACAUGCAGGAAAGCUGGUGGGGGAUUUUUGUCCUGGAUUUCCAUGGCAGCAGGAUGGUACCUGGGGCAUGUGGGUUUUCUUGUGGGAAGAAAGUCUAGGCAUCUUGGCAAGGGGACAGGACUGGCCAUGGGUUGUUGGCAGAGCUCUCAGAACAGCCUGGGCAACAACUGGCCAGGCUGCAGGACUGCAGAGAAAGACCUGGGACUUACAGUAGACCAUAGGCUAAUACGACCCAGCCAUGUGCUCUUGCUGUUAGCCUUUUUUUUUUCUCUUUGCAGCAUCCUGGAUUGUGUUAAUGGGAGUGUCACAAAUUGAGGGAAGCAAUUCUUCCACUCUCUACAGCACUGGUGAGGCUCACCCUUGAGUACUGUGUCCAGGUUUGGACCCCCGCACUUCAAGAAGGAUGUGGACAGGUUGGAAAGAGUCCAGCCAUGGAAGCCAGAAAUGAUUAGGUGCCUGGGAAACAAGACUUAUGAAGAAAGGCUGAAAGGACUAGGGUGAUUGAAUCUGGAGAGGAAAAGACUGAGGCGGGAUUUGAUAACAGUUGUCAAAUCGCUGAAGCACAGUCACAAAGAGGACGGAGAUGGGCUUUUCUCUGUGACCAUAGGACUAGGAGCAAUGCCCUCAAGCUGCAGCAGAGAAAAUUUAGGUUGGAGAUUAGGAGGAACUUGCUUGGUAUGAGGGUGAUUCAGCAUUGAACAGGGAAGUUUUCGACUUUCCAUCCUUAGACAUUUUCAAAAGCAAGUUAGAUGUUUGACUGGGCUGGUUUAGCUGGGGCUAAUCCUGUCCUGAUGCAGCAGAUGACCUUGUGAGGUCCUUUUCAGCCCUGCUUUCUUGUGCUCCUAUGAACAGCUUGUGCCUUAGUGUUUCUCUGGCAAUGCCGGGACCUUCUGGUGGCAGCUCUGAAGUCGCUUGCAUUGGGAAGAAUGCAGAUUUCCUAACAAUCGCUAAGCCCUUUUCUGGGCUUUUCAUCUGUAGAUCAGCAUGAGCUUCGCUUGCGAGGUGGGGAUCAUCCCCAUUUCACUGAUAGGGAAACAGAGGCUUCCUCUUGCACAGGAAUGGUGCGAGCAGGAGUCUAUCAUCAGCAAGACGCUCAGUGGUUGGGGGAAGAAUAAACACCCUGAUGCAUCUGACCCA